UGGGGAAUAUUGGACAAUGGGCGAAAGCCUGAUCCAGCCAUGCCGCGUGUGUGAAGAAGGUCUUCGGAUUGUAAAGCACUUUAAGUUGUGAGGAAGGGCAGUAAGCGAAUACCUUGCUGUUUUGACGUUACCGACAGAAUAAGCACCGGCUAACUCUGUGCCAGCAGCCGCGGUAAUACAGAGGGUGCAAGCGUUAAUCGGAAUUACUGGGCGUAAAGCGCGCGUAGGUGGUUCGUUAAGUUGAAUGUGAAAGCCCCGGGCUCAACCUGGGAACUGCAGCCAAAACUGGCGAGCUAGAGUAGGGCAGAGGGUGGUGGAAUUUCCUGUGUAGCGGUGAAAUGCGUAGAUAUAGGAAGGAACACCAGUGGCGAAGGCGACCACCUGGGCUCAUACUGACACUGAGGUGCGAAAGCGUGGGGAGCAAACAGG
RNAcentral lists this ribosomal RNA (429 nucleotides) under Pseudomonadota bacterium. Its description in RNAcentral is "Proteobacteria bacterium partial 16S ribosomal RNA". It matches the Rfam family "Bacterial small subunit ribosomal RNA", at positions 355 to 776 of the family's 1533-position model. Lineage: Bacteria; Pseudomonadati; Pseudomonadota. The record is from RNAcentral.